AACGAACGCUGGCGGCAUGCCUAACACAUGCAAGUCGAACGAGACCUUCGGGUCUAGUGGCGCACGGGUGCGUAACGCGUGGGAACCUGCCCUUAGGUUCGGAAUAACUCCCCGAAAGGGGUGCUAAUACCGGAUAAUGUCUUCGGACCAAAGAUUUAUCGCCUUUGGAUGGGCCCGCGUUGGAUUAGCUAGUUGGUAGGGUAAAAGCCUACCAAGGCGACGAUUCAUAGCUGGUCUGAGAGGAUGAUCAGCCACACUGGGACUGAGACACGGCCCAGACUCCUACGGGAGGCAGCAGUGGGGAAUAUUGGACAAUGGGCGAAAGCCUGAUCCAGCAAUGCCGCGUGAGUGAUGAAGGCCUUAGGGUUGUAAAGCUCUUUUACCCGGGAUGAUAAUGACGGUACCGGGAGAAUAAGCCCCGGCUAACUCCGUG
RNAcentral lists this ribosomal RNA (433 nucleotides) under uncultured bacterium. Its description in RNAcentral is "partial 16S ribosomal RNA". It matches the Rfam family "Bacterial small subunit ribosomal RNA", at positions 29 to 507 of the family's 1533-position model. The record is from RNAcentral.